Long non-coding RNA from Ostrea edulis (European flat oyster), 1084 nucleotides. RefSeq lists it as uncharacterized. The transcript has 3 exons. The record is from RefSeq and is a predicted model, not a curated record. NCBI's taxonomy places the organism in Eukaryota, Metazoa, Mollusca, Bivalvia, Ostreida, Ostreidae.
AUAACGAUCUUUUAAUGUUCAAUAUUUUUAUUACACAUGAGGGUAUGAACUGUUACACUUCACACGCGUGUAUACUUCCUGUAACUCGUGACCCUCAUUUCUGAUACCGGGAGUUUGACGAAAUAAGAGUCACUACGUAAGCUAAUCAGUGAAGGUUUGACGUCUCCGGGAUCAAGAACAGAGACCGGGACCUAAGAGUUAUGUCUUUACCAUGUGACUACAGUGAGCGGUCCAUUCGACAUUAUCCUAAGGACCAAUGCAGGUUGAAAUGGGCUUCGAGCCAAUAAGUUCAACAGCAAUUUGCCUUGGAAAUUGUCAAGAAAGUGAUGACGUCAUAUCUCCUGGACCCUACAACUUCUUAGCUUACCAAGAAAAUUCAAGAAUUUCUGCAAAAUGUGGGACUUGGAAAGAAUCAUUAAAGUAUAUGUGAUCAAUGAAUAUUGUGUAACAUACAAAAGUAUGAAUUUAAUGAAAAACAAAUAAAUAUACUCGUGUAUCACGUGCCGUUUUAAAGUUAAGUAUCCUGCCUAAAUAUAGAGGACAUGUCAUUGUUGAUUAUUCUGAUUCUUCGAUAAAUCAAAAUCAGUAAAUAUUUCAAAAUGAAAAUGCCUAUCUUAUAACUUUAAUCAAUGUGUGAAUUUCUCUUGCAAAUUAAAGUUUAAUUGAACAUAUUACAUCAUGGAUGACUAUGAACUUUACAUUUUAUUAUUAAUAAAUGUUUCCAUAGAUACUAACUUUUACAUCAAUCAAUCAAUGCUUUAUUCACAUAAAUGUACAGUCAUACAAUACAGAAAGAAAAAAAUGUCUUCAUGGGACUAGUUAAACCCCCGACACAAACACACGCAUACACAUACGCAAUAUACAUGCAUUCUGAGUUAUCCACUAGCGAGUUAUUGGUUCAAUGUGAGACGACAAGUAGGACUAUUAAACUUAUGAAAGACAUAUAUAUCUGCGAGAGCAAGAUAGCUCAGAUGAGCGUUGAGAUCCAUGCGUCGCUUGAGUUGAAGUCUUUCGAACCAUCUGGUUUGGUUUGGUUUGAUACAGUUUAACAUCCCUCUUGAGAAUUUUCACUCAUAUUGAGACG